AGAGUUUGAUCCUGGCUCAGAUUGAACGCUGGCGGCAUGCCUUACACAUGCAAGUCGAACGGCAGCGCGGGGCAACCUGGCGGCGAGUGGCGAACGGGUGAGUAAUAUAUCGGAACGUACCCUGGAGUGGGGGAUAACGUAGCGAAAGUUACGCUAAUACCGCAUACGAUCUAAGGAUGAAAGUGGGGGAUCGCAAGACCUCAUGCUCCUGGAGCGGCCGAUAUCUGAUUAGCUAGUUGGCGGGGUAAAAGCCCACCAAGGCAACGAUCAGUAGCUGGUCUGAGAGGACGACCAGCCACACUGGAACUGAGACACGGUCCAGACUCCUACGGGAGGCAGCAGUGGGGAAUUUUGGACAAUGGGCGCAAGCCUGAUCCAGCAAUGCCGCGUGAGUGAAGAAGGCCCUCGGG
This 410-nucleotide ribosomal RNA is filed under the name uncultured bacterium. Its description in RNAcentral is "bacterial SSU rRNA". It matches the Rfam family "Bacterial small subunit ribosomal RNA", at positions 8 to 422 of the family's 1533-position model. The record is from RNAcentral.